UUACGGUCAAAUCACGCUGAAAACACCGGUUCUCGUUCGAUCACCGAAGUUAAGCAUCGUAGAGCCAGGUCAGUGCUUAGAUGGGGGACCGCUUGGGAACACCUGGUACUGUAAG
Molecule: non-coding RNA, 115 nt
Organism: Acanthosepion pharaonis
Lineage: Eukaryota; Metazoa; Mollusca; Cephalopoda; Sepiida; Sepiidae
Source: the annotation of a GenBank genome assembly